CCGCACGAGUGAAACAAUCGCCCUUGAUUCCGCUUGCAGCUCCUAAUUUUCAGGCCGAUUCCAACUGAAUCGUGCCUCCCCGAUCCUUCUUUCUCUCCCCAGAUCGAGGAAAACAGCGCCGCCUCCUCCCUUCCCCCACAAUGACGCAACCCCCAAUCGUCAGCCGAACUGCCCCGUGACAACCUCCCGGGCACUCUCCCCGCCGCCCGCACAAUGCCCUCAUCGGCGCUCUUUUCGUCAGAGCGGCCUGGAGCGGCGUGCACAGGAAGCCGGAGCAGGGAAGGAGUGCGGCCACCGCCGGGAGACAAGGGGAGGCGUGCUCGCGCUCUUUUGGGUCGGCCAUGGAGGCCGCACGCAAGCCCGCGGCGUGGCGGCGCCCGCUCCGCCUCGCCUCUCCGGCCGCAUCCAAAGGACGAAGUGGGCGCAUGUGUGGCUGCUGCCAGCGAAUGAGGCCGCACGCGAGCCCGCGGUGCGGCGGCGCGGAUCCCUCUUCCCCCUGCCGGUUUGAAAUCCGCACCGUCCCCGACAAGGUAACUGCUCUCCUCCGGUUAGGCCCUGGCCUGGGCAUGUGCAGCCGGUGCGAGCAAUCACCGAGCCAUUAGUGAUUCGUUGAUCCCUAUGAUUCACUCCCUAAUUUGCAUUGGUCAGUAAUUCUCCAUAUGCUCCACUUGAGAGAGCAAGAGAAGGUUACUCUACUCCAUUAUGUACUAAUUCCGGCAAUCAAGGUCAAUACAUGUUACAUCAAUCAAGAUCGAGGAAAACAGCGCCGCCUCCUCCCUUCCCCCACAAUGACGCAACCCCCAAUCGUCAGCCGAACUGCCCCGUGACAACCUCCCGGGCACUCUCCCCGCCGCCCGCACAACGCCCUCAUCGGCGCUCUUUUCGCCAGAGCGGCCCGGAGCGGCGUGCACAGGAAGCCGGAGCAGGGAAGGAGUGCGGCCACCGCCGGGAGACAAGGGGAGGCGUGGUCGCGCUCUUUUGGGUCGGCCAUGGAGGCCGCAUGCAAGCCCGCGGCGUGGCGGCGCCCGCUCCGCCUCGCCUCUCCAGCCGCAUCCAAAGGACGAAGUGGGCGCAUGUGUGGCGGCUGCCGGCGAAUGAGGCCGCACGCGAGCCCGCAGCGCGGCGGCGCGGAUCCCUCUUCCCCCUGCCGGUUUGAAAUCCGCACCGUCCCCGACAAGGUAACUGCUCUCCUCCGGUUAGGCCCUGGCCUGGGCAUGUGCAGCCGGUGCGAGCAAUCACCGAGCCAUCAGUGAUUCGUUGAUCCCUAUGAUUCACUCCCUAAUUUGCAUUGGUCAGUAAUUCUCCAUAUGCUCCACUUGAGAGAGCAAGAGAAGGUUACUCUACUCCAUUAUGUACUAAUUCCGGCAAUCAAGGUCAAUACAUGUUACAUCAAUCAGGGUCAGUAAUUGUACUAAUUUCAGAGAAGACCUGUAUAGCAGUACUACUCCAUCGGCAAGCGUUCAGUGCUGGAUUUCUUUCACACCUGUGUAGUGUUGUACCAUGGUCGUUCUCCCUCCUCCAGGUUUGAUUUUUCAAGUUUCAUGCCUUUGUGUUUUAAGAUGUCAUCCCAAAAGUAAUUGUAACAUGAAAAACCAAAGAAAGAGAAGAUUAACACGUGAGUUUAUAAAUUCUCAAUAGAAAGUCAUUGAAGAAAAUUUAGGACAAAUAUAAUGUCUAAUUGGCACUUGAACCGACAAAGGGCCUCACUUUGUUAUCUUGCACAGGGACUCAGCCAAGUCCGGCCUGGCCAUGCCUCCGUCCUCCCGCCUUGCCGGCUGCGUGUGUGUGUGCUGUCUAUGCUUGACGCUGCAUGCUUGUUGGCUUGUCACUGGGUGCUUGUCGCUGCAGGCCUGUUGCAGCAGAUGCUGCUUUGCUGUAUAUAUUUGUAUAAUGCUUGCAUCUUGUAUGCAGCUAUGCUUUAUUUUAUACUGACAUUGUUGUUGCUGCUGUUGACCUGUUGAUGUUGUUGCUUACUGCUGCUGUCCUCCUGAUGUUGUUGCUGUGCUGGCCAAGGAGUGAGUCCAGAGAUACACAACAUUCAAUUAUGAGGGUCUAGGAAAUUAAUGGUCAUUCAGUCAUUGAUGAUAUAAAAAGAGGCAUGAAGGCAAUGAAAGGGGUAGUAUUUUGAUCUCAUGUCAUCUCGCACAUAGAUUAUUUGUUCUUCUUUACUUACCAUUUUAUUAAUUAUUUAUAUAUACCCACCAUACCGCCGUAUUAUUGUUUCUUGAAAUUACCGUAUCCCCAUUUCCUUAUCGCCGUAUCCGUAACGCCGGUGCUUCAUAGCUAUGAAGCACGAGUCUACAAUGAUCUAUUUUCAUGUUCUAUCAAGAAGUUCCAUUUGCAAUUUCCUUCUAUAAGUUUCAUUUAUGACAAUAAUGAUCGAUCCAUGUUCAUAGCUAUGUACGUGUUUCACUGGUAUUACCAUUGUUCAUAGUGUAAGCAUAUUAAAUAGUUAUAUGCUUAUUGCACUACAAAGUGUAAACUGUUUAUUAUGUUCCAUCAUUUGACAGAGCAAUGCUAAAGUUCUAAAGUAUCAAGUGAUUGAAUACACUGAAAAUGAUUACAUAUGCAAGCUUUGCAAAGUAGAGAACCUCUUUUUUAGUCUCCACCAAUUUAUUGUUCUCCUUGUGUUGCUUGGAUAAAAUGAAAUGCAUACUAUACUGCUACUGCUACUGAGACUUGUCACAAUUUCUGUAUCCUGUGUUACAAUGAGACUCACAGUUCAAAAUUCAGGUGGAAGGUAAUCAAUUUUCUAAGGAUAAACUUCAUACUCGAAUCUACGUUGUGUAAUGUGUGACAAAUGUGAAUGUUGGCAGUGUCUGAUUUGUGCCCUUUUAAAUUUCAAAUGGGGUGAUUCCAAAGAAGCAGAUUAAACUUGCCCUAAAUGUUGUGUUUGGGAGAUCGAGCAUGGCUUACGUAUGCCUUUGCCACAAAAUUAUGUUCUUGGGGCUAAAGAUCUGCCAAGGGCCAUGCUUAGCGAUCAUAUAGAAGAACAACUCUUUAAACGGCUCAAUGAAGAGAGACACGAACGGGCUAUUCAUAAUGGGAAAAGUUUUGAUGAGGUUAGUGCUGCCUCAUCAAUUUACAGAAUCUUACGUUUAUGGAUCCUAUGUUUUCUUUUUCUUGUUUAUAUCUUGGUUUCCUUUCCUGAAUAUGAAAUAUGUGGUUUGUGUACUUCUUACAAACAGAGAUGUGUUGCUCCUUCUGCAUACUUUUAUUCCUUUUUUUAGAAUUUGACUGUAUUUAAGUGUUUUUUUGCUAGAUCCUUGUUUCAUGCACGUGCACUUUUUUUGGGGGAAUCGGGAGCUUUUCCGGACUGAAUAAGUAGAGUUAUAGUCAAGCUGAAGGCUGAAAACGAAGCCAUAAUUCAUAUUUAUCCAAGCACACCUUUGCCGCUCAGGCGAAGCAUUUUUUGCACACAGGUGAGCAGCAACAGUAGCUGGUCUGUGCACAAGCCUAAAUUGAAAACUAGAAUAAACUCUACUUAGUUGGUUCACUUCCUUCAGGAUGGGGGCAAUCACUGAUCUGUCUUGAGCAUCACUGGACCAAAAUAUAUGUACCACCUAGCAACAGAUUGAUGGUACAAAUAUAUGUACAUACAUUAGGGUGUAUAGCUGGUUGAUGUAUUUUUUUAAUGAGGGUUUGGUUUACGGGUGUGUGCAGUCUGUAUAAGACUAGGAGUAUUGGAUGGUUUUGAGUCGGCACUCGACAGUAUGUAUUUUGAAUGAAGUUUGUGGUAUGUAUAGGGGUGAUAGAUUGGAUAGGAACUUCUGAUCUAAUUACUAUGGUUGUGGUGAAACCAUGUUUUUCUUGAAUUAUACUCCCUCCGUUCCUAAAUAUAAGUCUUUCUAGGGAUUCCAAGAAGGGACUACAUACGGAGCAAAAUGAGUGAAUUUACACUCUAAAACAUGUCUACAUACAUCCGUAUGUAGUUUAUAGUAGAAUAUCUAAAAAGACUUAUAUUUAGGAACGGAGGGAGUAUAUUUGGAACUGAUCUUAAUUUACUAGAGAAAUCAAUUCCAAAAUCCAAUAAACUUCUAUAAUUUCUAUAAUUUCCAAGAAUAGGAUUAUUGCUGGUUAAUCAAUUGAUUUACAUUAAUAUCUUAAAAGGGGACGACACGCAUGUCCUGAUGCUAAUUUUUUUUUAGAAAGGAAGGGUUUAUGUAAUUUUGGUAGGAUAAAAAAUGUAACCUUAGUAUUACCUAGAGCUAGGAUAUGUGAGUAGAUUAUUUUAAUUUUUGAGCUCAUAUGUGAGAUCAUGUUUGGAAUAUCAUGUUCCUAUAACGGAAUCAGUCGUGAUAGUGAAGUCUGCACCAGAAUGUUGACCACCCUUUUUUGUUUUUUGAGUUAAGGAAUUUACAACAAGUCUCUUGCAAAAAUAACUAUCCUAUCCCUUUCUACAAUCUCUAUAUAUCUUUGUUAGAUAAGGUAAGUAUUGUAUAAUAGUUCGGUUUUCCGUGAUUUUUUUCAUUCCUCUGUGUAAACAGCCUAAUAUGAGUUCACAAUCAAUAACAUGCUCACCAUCGAGAGUAACGAUCAGUCGAUAUGUUCUCCUAAUUCUCUCUCUUAUAAACGUGAAGUCCAAAUGCCUACUGGCUGCUUUCAGGUGACUGGAAUUUUGAGCCUUCAACUUGUCGACAUGUGCCUGAGAAGUAGGUUAGAUGGAGCUAAGGCUGAGAUGGAGGCGGCACUGCCUGCCACAACGUCUCCAAGAUGCUGAGCUAGUACCUGGACGGAGGCGGGGACGACACUACUUGUGGUGGCAUCCCCAAGAUGAAGAUCUAGGACCUGGAUGGAGGCAGGGACGACACAACUUGUCCCAGCGUCGUCAGCGGAGGACAUGCAACAAGUUGCGGGGUUUGGGUGGAGGUGGGUUAGAGGGAUGACCGGUGGCAGCAACGGCAACUCGGGCAGACCAGGGCGGCGAGGCUGUAGUGCGGGCGUUCGUGUGCCAGGAAGAAGGUUACAGUCCGUUGGAUGCAUAAUAUGGGAGGGCGGAGGGAAAACUGACUGAAGAAAAAUCUUUUCGAGCCUGAAAUAGUCGCUCUCAAUUGUAACCAUAGAAGCUUGGCACGUUUUGAAGAACCAGAGUUGCCUGUGUGUUGUAGAGUUUUUUCUUGCAACUUUAAGGCCUUUGUUUGCUCUAUCUUGAAGACCUUUGUUCUACACGUCUUACUAUGGGCUGUGAAGAAAUAGAGUUGUGUGAUCUGA
This is a long non-coding RNA of Triticum aestivum (bread wheat), 5211 nucleotides long. RefSeq lists it as uncharacterized. The transcript has 4 exons. The record is from RefSeq and is a predicted model, not a curated record. Lineage: Eukaryota; Viridiplantae; Streptophyta; Magnoliopsida; Poales; Poaceae.